Molecule: ribosomal RNA, 491 nt
Filed under: uncultured bacterium
Lineage: Bacteria
Description: partial 16S ribosomal RNA
Rfam family: Bacterial small subunit ribosomal RNA
Source: RNAcentral
AGUGAACGCUGGCGGUAGGCCUAACACAUGCAAGUCGAACGGCAGCACAGCAAGAGCUUGCUCUUACGGGUGGCGAGUGGCGGACGGGUGAGGAAUACAUCGGAAUCUACUUUUUCGUGGGGGAUAACGUAGGGAAACUUACGCUAAUACCGCAUACGACCUACGGGUGAAAGCAGGGGAUCUUCGGACCUUGCGCGAUUGAAUGAGCCGAUGUCGGAUUAGCUAGUUGGCGGGGUAAAGGCCCACCAAGGCGACGAUCCGUAGCUGGUCUGAGAGGAUGAUCGGCCACACUGGAACUGAGACACGGUCCAGGCUCCUACGGGAGGCAGCAGUGGGGAAUAUUGGACAAUGGGCGCAAGCCUGAUCCAGCCAUACCGCGUGGGUGAAGAAGGCCUUCGGGUUGUAAAGCCCUUUUGUUGGGAAAGAAAAGCAGCAGGUUAAUACCCCGCUGUUCUGACGGUACCCAAAGAAUAAGCACCGGCUAACUUCGU